This 1027-nucleotide ribosomal RNA is filed under the name Saccharomyces cerevisiae (brewer's yeast). Its description in RNAcentral is "SSU rRNA". It matches the Rfam family "Eukaryotic small subunit ribosomal RNA", at positions 69 to 1105 of the family's 1831-position model. Lineage: Eukaryota; Fungi; Ascomycota; Saccharomycetes; Saccharomycetales; Saccharomycetaceae. The record is from RNAcentral.
GCAUUUAUACAGUGAAACUGCGAAUGGCUCAUUAAAUCAGUUAUCGUUUAUUUGAUAGUUCCUUUACUACAUGGUAUAACUGUGGUAAUUCUAGAGCUAAUACAUGCUUAACAUCUCGACCCUUUGGAAGAGAUGUAUUUAUUAGAUAAAAAAUCAAUGUCUUCGGACUCUUUGAUGAUUCAUAAUAACUUUUCGAAUCGCAUGGCCUUGUGCUGGCGAUGGUUCAUUCAAAUUUCUGCCCUAUCAACUUUCGAUGGUAGGAUAGUGGCCUACCAUGGUUUCAACGGGUAACGGGGAAUAAGGGUUCGAUUCCGGAGAGGGAGCCUGAGAAACGGCUACCACAUCCAAGGAAGGCAGCAGGCGCGCAAAUUACCCAAUCCUAAUUCAGGGAGGUAGUGACAAUAAAUAACGAUACAGGGCCCAUUCGGGUCUUGUAAUUGGAAUGAGUACAAUGUAAAUACCUUAACGAGGAACAAUUGGAGGGCAAGUCUGGUGCCAGCAGCCGCGGUAAUUCCAGCUCCAAUAGCGUAUAUUAAAGUUGUUGCAGUUAAAAAGCUCGUAGUUGAACUUUGGGCCCGGUUGGCCGGUCCGAUUUUUUCGUGUACUGGAUUUCCAACGGGGCCUUUCCUUCUGGCUAACCUUGAGUCCUUGUGGCUCUUGGCGAACCAGGACUUUUACUUUGAAAAAAUUAGAGUGUUCAAAGCAGGCGUAUUGCUCGAAUAUAUUAGCAUGGAAUAAUAGAAUAGGACGUUUGGUUCUAUUUUGUUGGUUUCUAGGACCAUCGUAAUGAUUAAUAGGGACGGUCGGGGGCAUCAGUAUUCAAUUGUCAGAGGUGAAAUUCUUGGAUUUAUUGAAGACUAACUACUGCGAAAGCAUUUGCCAAGGACGUUUUCAUUAAUCAAGAACGAAAGUUAGGGGAUCGAAGAUGAUCAGAUACCGUCGUAGUCUUAACCAUAAACUAUGCCGACUAGGGAUCGGGUGGUGUUUUUUUAAUGACCCACUCGGCACCUUACGAGAAAUCAAAGUC